Molecule: transfer RNA, 66 nt
Filed under: Gnathotrichus materiarius
Lineage: Eukaryota; Metazoa; Arthropoda; Insecta; Coleoptera; Curculionidae
Description: tRNA-Phe
Source: RNAcentral
AUUUAGAUAGCUUAAAUUAAAGCCUAGUAUUGAAGAUACUAUUAUAGUGGUGACCACUUCUAAGUG